GACGAACGCUGGCGGCGUGUCUAACACAUGCAAGUCGAACGGAACUGUUUUGAAAGCUUUCUUCGGAAUGAAUUUGAUUUAGUUUAGUGGCGGACGGGUGAGUAACGCGUGAGUAACCUGCCUUCAAGAGGGGAAUAACAUUCUGAAAAGAAUGCUAAUACCGCAUGACAUAUCGGAACCACAUGGUUUUGAUAUCAAAGAUUUUAUCGCUUGAAGAUGGACUCGCGUCCGAUUAGUUAGUUGGUGAGGUAACGGCUCACCAAGACCGCGAUCGGUAGCCGGACUGAGAGGUUGAACGGCCACAUUGGGACUGAGACACGGCCCAGACUCCUACGGGAGGCAGCAGUGGGGGAUAUUGCGCAAUGGGGGCAACCCUGACGCAGCAACGCCGCGUGAAGGAUGAAGGUUUUCGGAUUGUAAACUUCUUUUAUUAAGGACGAAAAAUGACGGUACUUAAUGAAUAAGCUCCGGCUAACUACGUG
RNAcentral lists this ribosomal RNA (482 nucleotides) under uncultured bacterium. RNAcentral's name for it is "partial 16S ribosomal RNA". It matches the Rfam family "Bacterial small subunit ribosomal RNA", at positions 28 to 507 of the family's 1533-position model. The record is from RNAcentral.